AUGCAUGUUCAGUGAAAUCGAGUAGGGCGGGACACGUGUUAUCCUGUCUGAAUAUGGGGGGACCAUCCUCCAAGGCUAAAUACUCCUGACUGACCGAUAGUGAACCAGUACCGUGAGGGAAAGGCGAAAAGAACCCCUGUGAGGGGAGUGAAAUAGAACCUGAAACCGUGUACGUACAAGCAGUAGGAGCACCUUCGUGGUGUGACUGCGUACCUUUUGUAUAAUGGGUCAGCGACUUAUAUUCAGUGGCAAGGUUAACCAUCUAGGGGAGCCGUAGGGAAACCGAGUCUUAACUGGGCGCCAUAGUCUCUGGAUAUAGACCCGAAACCGAGUGAUCUAGCCAUGGGCAGGUUGAAGGUUGAGUAACAUCAACUGGAGGACCGAACCGACUAAUGUUGAAAAAUUAGCGGAUGACUUGUGGCUAGGGGUGAAAGGCCAAUCAAACUCGGAGAUAGCUGGUUCUCCCCGAAAGCUAUUUAGGUAGCGCCUCGGACGAAUACUACUGGGGGUAGAGCACUGUUAAGGCUAGGGGGUCAUCCCGACUUACCAACCCUUUGCAAACUCCGAAUACCAGUAAGUACUAUCCGGGAGACACACGGCGGGUGCUAACGUCCGUCGUGGAGAGGGAAACAACCCAGACCGCCAGCUAAGGUCCCAAAUUACAGCUAAGUGGGAAACGAUGUGGGAAGGCUUAGACAGCUAGGAUGUUGGCUUAGAAGCAGCCAUCAUUUAAAGAAAGCGUAAUAGCUCACUAGUCGAGUCGGCCUGCGCGGAAGAUGUAACGGGGCUAAGUUGUAAA
RNAcentral lists this ribosomal RNA (799 nucleotides) under Vibrio vulnificus. RNAcentral describes it as "partial 23S ribosomal RNA". It matches the Rfam family "Bacterial large subunit ribosomal RNA", at positions 391 to 1193 of the family's 2925-position model. The record is from RNAcentral. Lineage: Bacteria; Pseudomonadati; Pseudomonadota; Gammaproteobacteria; Vibrionales; Vibrionaceae.